GGAUCAUUAAAGAGUUUAAUAAAACUCCUAAACCCCUGUGAACUUACUGGUGUUUGGCUCGCCAGAUAUAGUCUGGUCCGUAAGCAAAUCGACUGCCUGCCUGUGUAACAGGCAGGUAAGCUUUUGUCGCGGGGUCCCGGAUCAACCCGGGCUAGAUAGCCACUUAACUAUAUACUUUUUAUAAAAUCUGUGAACUUACUAUGUUGGAUUCUCGCCAGAGAUAGUCUGGUUUCUGCCACGCAGAUCGACUGCCUGCUUGUGACACCUGUCACAGGUAGGUAAGCUUUUGCCGCGGGUCCGCAUGUAAAUCGUCUGUUUCACAAGGGACGGCGAUUUACUUGUGGAAGAGGUCCGCUAACUAUAUUCUUAGUAUAGUUUGUUCACUAGAUCAAACAUUCUGAAUAAAAACUUAAACUAGUUAAAACUUUCAACAACGGAUCUCUUGGUUCUGGCAUCGAUGAAGAACGCAGCGAAAUGCGAUAAGUAAUGUGAAUUGCAGAAUUUAGUGAAUCAUCGAAUCUUUGAACGCACAUUGCGCCCAUUAGUAUUCUAGUGGGCAUGCCUGUUCGAGCGUCAUUUCAACCCUUAAGCCCCUGUUGCUUAGCGUUGGGAGCCUACAGCCUGCUGCAGCUCCUUAAAGGUAGUGGCGGAGUCGGUUCACACUCUAGACGUAGUAAAAUCUUUAUCUCGUCUAUGGAUGAGCCGGCGCCUUGCCGUAAAACCCCUAAUCUUUCACAAGGUUGACCUCGGAUCAGGUAGGAAUACCCGCUGAACUUAAGCAUAUCAAUAAGCGGAGGAAAAGAAACCAACAGGGAUUGCCCUAGUAACGGCGAGUGAAGCGGCAACAGCUCAAAUUUGAAAUCUGGCCUUCGGGUCCGAGUUGUAAUUUGCAGAGGAUGCUUUGGGCGCGGUGCCUUCCGAGUUCCCUGGAACGGGACGCCUUAGAGGGUGAGAGCCCCGUACGGUUGGACACCAAGCCUCUGUAAAGCUCCUUCGACGAGUCGAGUAGUUUGGGAAUGCUGCUCUAAAUGGGAGGUAAAUUUCUUCUAAAGCUAAAUAUUGGCCAGAGACCGAUAGCGCACAAGUAGAGUGAUCGAAAGAUGAAAAGCACUUUGAAAAGAGGGUUAAAUAGCACGUGAAAUUGUUGAAAGGGAAGCGUUUGCGACCAGACCUUUUCCCAGCGGAUCAUCCGGUGUUCUCACCGGUGCACUUCGCUGGGUUGAGGCCAGCAUCGGUUUCCGCAGGGGGAUAAAAGCCUGGGGAACGUAGCUCCCUCGGGAGUGUUAUAGCCCCUCGCAUAAUACCCUUGCGGGGACCGAGGACCGCGCU
This 1329-nucleotide ribosomal RNA is filed under the name Xylaria sp. genotype 353. RNAcentral's name for it is "eukaryotic LSU rRNA". The stretch from base 742 to 1329 matches the Rfam family "Eukaryotic large subunit ribosomal RNA", at positions 1 to 599 of the family's 3401-position model. The record is from RNAcentral. Lineage: Eukaryota; Fungi; Ascomycota; Sordariomycetes; Xylariales; Xylariaceae.